AUGAACUGAAAGAACCGGGGAAUUUCUCCAGAGGAAAAGGGAGAAAUUAAACAUCACCAUAAGGAGCCUGGGUGCCAGGGGCUGGCUGGGCAGGCGGGGAGCAGCCAGAUCCCUGCUGCACUCCCCGAACCCCCCGGGAAGGGCUUGCAGGUGAGAAGGAAGCGCCGAGGACGAGGACGGCCGGGGUGAAGAGCCGGGAGGAGAGGAGGUCUCAGGCGGCUCCCCCAACCCCUCGUGUUCACCCCGAGAGCUCUGGGUGAGCCCCCCAUGCUCUGCGGACACAUGCCCGGAGGUGCCCAUGGGAUCCUGUCUCUGCUGACCGUGCUGUUCGUCCUGCCAGAGGUGUCUGGACUGCAGUGUUAUGGCUGCAACAUCGUGGUCGGCACCAAAAACGUGGACAUGGGGUGCUCCAACCCCGAGGUGAUUACCUGCUCCCAGUCCCACCAGGGCUUCAAGCACCGGUUCUGCAUUAAAACAGAGAGCGUGGUGCUGGGCAUGGUUCUGACCAGCGGCUGUGCCACCUCCCGUCACUGCCAGCAGCAGGAGCUGCCGGGGGUCCGCAUCCACUGCUGUGACACCGACCUGUGCAACAGCUCCCCCAGAGCCCCCCGGCCGCCCCCAGGCCACCUCCUGCUGCCCUGCAUCCUCGCUGCCCUGCUCCUCUCCUGAGCCCCCCGGGCCUGCGGGAGGCGGGGGUGUCCCCAUCGCUGCUCCUGGGGGUGGGCAGGACGCCCCCAUCUCUCCCCGCUCCUCAAUAAAAGGUGCCGAACGCUGCGCCCUGGGAAGGUC
This 789-nucleotide long non-coding RNA is filed under the name Parus major (Great Tit). RNAcentral describes it as "lncRNA (ENSPMJG00000006432.1)". The record is from RNAcentral. Lineage: Eukaryota; Metazoa; Chordata; Aves; Passeriformes; Paridae.